This 794-nucleotide ribosomal RNA is filed under the name uncultured bacterium. RNAcentral describes it as "bacterial SSU rRNA". It matches the Rfam family "Bacterial small subunit ribosomal RNA", at positions 8 to 795 of the family's 1533-position model. The record is from RNAcentral.
AGAGUUUGAUCCUGGCUCAGAUUGAACGCUGGCGGAAUGCUUUACACAUGCAAGUCGAACGGCAGCACGGGAGCUUGCUCCUGGUGGCGAGUGGCGAACGGGUGAGUAAUGCGUCGGAACGUACCGAGUAAUGGGGGAUAACGCACCGAAAGGUGUGCUAAUACCGCAUACGCCCCGAGGGGGAAAGCAGGGGAUCGCAAGACCUUGCGUUAUUCGAGCGGCCGACGUCUGAUUAGCUAGUUGGUGGGGUAAAGGCCUACCAAGGCGACGAUCAGUAGCGGGUCUGAGAGGAUGAUCCGCCACACUGGAACUGAGACACGGUCCAGACUCCUACGGGAGGCAGCAGUGGGGAAUUUUGGACAAUGGGGGCAACCCUGAUCCAGCCAUUCCGCGUGAGUGAAGAAGGCCUUCGGGUUGUAAAGCUCUUUCAGCUGGAACGAAACGGUACGCUCUAACAUAGCGUGCUAAUGACGGUACCAGCAGAAGAAGCACCGGCUAACUACGUGCCAGCAGCCGCGGUAAUACGUAGGGUGCGAGCGUUAAUCGGAAUUACUGGGCGUAAAGCGUGCGCAGGCGGAUUGUUAAGCAAGACGUGAAAUCCCCGGGCUUAACCUGGGAAUGGCGUUUUGAACUGGCAGUCUAGAGUGUGUCAGAGGGGGGUAGAAUUCCACGUGUAGCAGUGAAAUGCGUAGAGAUGUGGAGGAAUACCAAUGGCGAAGGCAGCCCCCUGGGAUAACACUGACGCUCAUGUACGAAAGCGUGGGUAGCAAACGGGAUUAGAUACCCUGGUAGUC